Molecule: ribosomal RNA, 420 nt
Filed under: Triticum aestivum (bread wheat)
Lineage: Eukaryota; Viridiplantae; Streptophyta; Magnoliopsida; Poales; Poaceae
Description: partial small subunit ribosomal RNA
Source: RNAcentral
AUGCCUCGCCUUUUUCUCCUCGUUCUUCUUUCUCCUCCUGUAUCCAUCUCCCUCUCUCAGCGCACUCUCUAUGCCCUUGGACAGGGACCCCGGAGACCACAUGGAUGGCCGACCCUGUCGUCACCUUGCACCUCUCCGCCUUCGCGCCGUGGCAGGAGCAGCCGCCUGACCUCCUCCAUCGCGCGCCCCUCCCCCAUGGAGUGCCACCUCGUCCCCCGCCUCUCCACCACCUGCAGGUCACCAGCAGGGAACCGUCGUCACGUCGCCGGCAAGCUUCGAGGUGAGCACCGCCUAGAGCUCAUCCGCCCGGAGACAUUCUUCAUCUUGUCUCCGUCGCUGGAGCCCAUCCCCAAGUCCCUCGUCGGGCUCCAUUUUUCCCUGCCGCCGCGCCUCUGUUCUGUCUCCUGGUGGAGGAGAUGA